CUUGGUCUCUAGAGCGGCUUGGAACCACUCCUUCCCAUUCCGAACAGGGAUGUGAAACGAGCCAGCGCCGAUAAUACUUGUCCGGAAACGGACUGGGAAAGUAGGUCGAGGCCAGGG
This 117-nucleotide ribosomal RNA is filed under the name Candidatus Microgenomates bacterium. The record is from RNAcentral. Lineage: Bacteria; Candidatus Microgenomatota.